Molecule: ribosomal RNA, 468 nt
Filed under: uncultured bacterium
Lineage: Bacteria
Description: partial 16S ribosomal RNA
Rfam family: Bacterial small subunit ribosomal RNA
Source: RNAcentral
GACGAACGCUGGCGGCGUGCUUAACACAUGCAAGUCGAACGGAAAGGCCCUGCUUUUGUGGGGUGCUCGAGUGGCGAACGGGUGAGUAACACGUGAGUAACCUGCCCUUGACUUUGGGAUAACUUCAGGAAACUGGGGCUAAUACCGGAUAGGAGCUCCUGCUGCAUGGCGGGGGUUGGAAAGUUUCGGCGGUUGGGGAUGGACUCGCGGCUUAUCAGCUUGUUGGUGGGGUAGUGGCUUACCAAGGCUUUGACGGGUAGCCGGCCUGAGAGGGUGACCGGCCACAUUGGGACUGAGAUACGGCCCAGACUCCUACGGGAGGCAGCAGUGGGGAAUAUUGCACAAUGGGCGGAAGCCUGAUGCAGCAACGCCGCGUGCGGGAUGACGGCCUUCGGGUUGUAAACCGCUUUCGCCUGUGACGAAGCGUGAGUGACGGUAAUGGGUAGAGAAGCACCGGCUAACUACGUG